RNAcentral lists this ribosomal RNA (253 nucleotides) under uncultured Rikenellaceae bacterium. Its description in RNAcentral is "partial 16S ribosomal RNA". It matches the Rfam family "Bacterial small subunit ribosomal RNA", at positions 524 to 776 of the family's 1533-position model. The record is from RNAcentral. Lineage: Bacteria; Pseudomonadati; Bacteroidota; Bacteroidia; Bacteroidales; Rikenellaceae.
UACGGAGGAUCCAAGCGUUAUCCGGAUUUAUUGGGUUUAAAGGGUGCGUAGGCGGAUUGAUAAGUUAGAGGUGAAAUGUCCGAGCUCAACUCGGGAACUGCCUCUAAUACUGUUGAUCUAGAGAGUAGAUGCGGUAGGCGGAAUGUAUGGUGUAGCGGUGAAAUGCUUAGAGAUCAUACAGAACACCGAUUGCGAAGGCAGCUUACCAGACUGCGACUGACGCUGAAGCACGAGAGCGUGGGUAGCGAACAGG